GCGUAAAGCSCACGUAGGCGGCUUUGUAAGUUAGAGGUGAAAGCCUGGAGCUCAACUCCAGAAUUGCCUUUAAGACUGCAUCGCUUGAAUCCAGGAGAGGUGAGUGGAAUUCCGAGUGUAGAGGUGAAAUUCGUAGAUAUUCGGAAGAACACCAGUGGCGAAGGCGGCUCACUGGACUGGUAUUGACGCUGAGGUGCGAAAGCUGUGGGGAGCAAACAGGAUUAGAUACCCUGGUAGUCCACGCCGUAAACGAUGAUAACUAGCUGUCGGGGCUCUUAGAGCUUCGGUGGCGCAGCUAACGCAUUAAGUUAUCCGCCUGGGGAGUACGGCCGCAAGGUUAAAACUCAAAGGAAUUGACGG
RNAcentral lists this ribosomal RNA (360 nucleotides) under uncultured bacterium. Its description in RNAcentral is "bacterial SSU rRNA". It matches the Rfam family "Bacterial small subunit ribosomal RNA", at positions 558 to 916 of the family's 1533-position model. The record is from RNAcentral.